RNAcentral lists this ribosomal RNA (429 nucleotides) under bacterium. Its description in RNAcentral is "partial 16S ribosomal RNA". It matches the Rfam family "Bacterial small subunit ribosomal RNA", at positions 355 to 776 of the family's 1533-position model. The record is from RNAcentral.
UGGGGAAUCUUCCGCAAUGGACGAAAGUCUGACGGAGCAACGCCGCGUGAGUGAUGACGGCCUUCGGGUUGUAAAGCUCUGUUAAUCGGGACGAAAGGCCUUCUUGCGAAUAGUGAGAAGGAUUGACGGUACCGGAAUAGAAAGCCACGGCUAACUACGUGCCAGCAGCCGCGGUAAUACGUAGGUGGCAAGCGUUGUCCGGAAUUAUUGGGCGUAAAGCGCGCGCAGGCGGAUAGGUCAGUCUGUCUUAAAAGUUCGGGGCUUAACCCCGUGAUGGGAUGGAAACUGCCAAUCUAGAGUAUCGGAGAGGAAAGUGGAAUUCCUAGUGUAGCGGUGAAAUGCGUAGAUAUUAGGAAGAUCACCAGUGGCGAAGGCGACUUUCUGGACGAAAACUGACGCUGAGGCGCGAAAGCCAGGGGAGCGAACGGG